CAGCCGCCACGGUAAUACGAAGGGGGCUAGCGUUGUUCGGAUUUACUGGGCGUAAAGGGCGCGUAGGCGGACUGAUAAGUCAGGGGUGAAAUCCCAAGGCUCAACCUUGGAACUGCCUUUGAUACUGUUUGUCUUGAGUUCGAGAGAGGUAAGUGGAACUGCGAGUGUAGAGGUGAAAUUCGUAGAUAUUCGCAAGAACACCAGUGGCGAAGGCGGCUUACUGGCUCGAAACUGACGCUGAGGCGCGAAGGCGUGGGGAGCAAACAGGAUUAGAUACCCCAGUAGUCCCUGUCUCUUAUAC
This 301-nucleotide ribosomal RNA is filed under the name uncultured bacterium. RNAcentral describes it as "partial 16S ribosomal RNA". It matches the Rfam family "Bacterial small subunit ribosomal RNA", at positions 509 to 807 of the family's 1533-position model. The record is from RNAcentral.